Molecule: small RNA, 28 nt
Filed under: Bombyx mori (domestic silkworm)
Lineage: Eukaryota; Metazoa; Arthropoda; Insecta; Lepidoptera; Bombycidae
Description: ovarian small RNA-35717
Source: RNAcentral
UGUCGAGGGUAGUGCAGAUCUGGUCAGU